AUGGCUCAGGAUGAACGCUAGCUACAGGCUUAACACAUGCAAGUCGAGGGGCAGCAUUGGAGUAGCAAUACUCAGAUGGCGACCGGCGCACGGGUGAGUAACACGUAUCCAACCUGCCGCUUACUCGGGGAUAGCCUUUCGAAAGAAAGAUUAAUACCCGAUGGUAUAAAGAGUUCGCAUGUUCUCUUUAUUAAAGAAUUUCGGUAAGCGAUGGGGAUGCGUUCCAUUAGAUAGUUGGCGGGGUAACGGCCCACCAAGUCUACGAUGGAUAGGGGUUCUGACGAGGAAGGUCCCCCACAUUGGAACUGAGACACGGUCCAAACUCCUACGGGAGGCAGCAGUGAGGAAUAUUGGUCAAUGGACGAGAGUCUGAACCAGCCAAAAGUAGCGUGAAGGAUGACUGCCCUAUGGGUUGUAAACUUCUUUUAUAAGGGAAUAAAGUGAGGGACGUGUCCCUUUUUGUAUGUACCUUAUGAAUAAGGAUCGGCUAACUCCGUGCCAGCCGCCGC
RNAcentral lists this ribosomal RNA (509 nucleotides) under uncultured bacterium. RNAcentral's name for it is "bacterial SSU rRNA". It matches the Rfam family "Bacterial small subunit ribosomal RNA", at positions 19 to 518 of the family's 1533-position model. The record is from RNAcentral.